GAUGAACGCUGACAGAAUGCUUAACACAUGCAAGUCCACUUGAAUUUGGGUUUUUAACUUAGGUUUGGGUGGCGGACGGGUGAGUAACGCGUAAAGAACUUGCCUCACAGCUAGGGACAACAUUUGGAAACGAAUGCUAAUACCUAAUAUUAUGAUAAUAGGGCAUCCUAUAAUUAUGAAAGCUAUAAGCGCUGUGAGAGAGCUUUGCGUCCCAUUAGCUAGUUGGAGAGGUAACGGCUCACCAAGGCGAUGAUGGGUAGCCGGCCUGAGAGGGUGAUCGGCCACAAGGGGACUGAGACACGGCCCUUACUCCUACGGGAGGCAGCAGUGGGGAAUAUUGGACAAUGGACCGAGAGUCUGAUCCAGCAAUUCUGUGUACACGAUGAAGUUUUUCGGAAUGUAAAGUGCUUUCAGUUGGGAAGAAACAAAUGACGGUACCAACAGAAGAAGUGACGGCUAAAUACGUG
RNAcentral lists this ribosomal RNA (467 nucleotides) under uncultured bacterium. Its description in RNAcentral is "partial 16S ribosomal RNA". It matches the Rfam family "Bacterial small subunit ribosomal RNA", at positions 28 to 507 of the family's 1533-position model. The record is from RNAcentral.